RNAcentral lists this unclassified non-coding RNA (834 nucleotides) under Bradyrhizobium arachidis. Its description in RNAcentral is "partial contains 16S-23S ribosomal RNA intergenic spacer and 23S ribosomal RNA". The stretch from base 189 to 262 matches the Rfam family "tRNA". The record is from RNAcentral. Lineage: Bacteria; Pseudomonadati; Pseudomonadota; Alphaproteobacteria; Hyphomicrobiales; Nitrobacteraceae.
AAGGAUGAUCCUUCAGCGAGCUCACGCUCACUAUCGGAUCGUUUUAGAAACAUCAGUGGCCAACAGAUCGCCAGAUCGUUGAGCUGCAUUGGCGGGAUUUCGCCGUCUUCGUUUCUCUUUCUUCGCGGACGAACACGCGCUGGGCCUGCAACGGCAGGGUCCAGGGUCCUUAACGGGAUGUGCGUUAGGGGCUUGUAGCUCAGUUGGUUAGAGCGCGCGCUUGAUAAGCGUGAGGUCGGAAGUUCAAGUCUUCCCAGGCCCACCACUUUCAUCGAGUGAGCAUUCGUCUUCUGGUUACGGGGCCAUAGCUCAGCUGGGAGAGCGCGUGCUUUGCAAGCAUGAGGUCGUCGGUUCGAUCCCGUCUGGCUCCACCAGAUGGUUUGAUCACCUGCGACUGACCGUCGUCCGCGAAACAUCACUUCGCAUUCACUAGUCUGGAUAGACAGUGAACUGCGUGUUUUCUGACAUCGUAAAGAGGAGAUCGAUCCGAGUUGGGUCGUGUAGCAGAUUGCUGCGCGAGCCUUCAUUAUCUCCGGAUCAUUUUCGGCGCUCGCGUCCGACCGCAAGGUUGGCCCGUGAGUUGUAAAAUGAUCCUUUUAGCGAAGCUUGACCGCCUCGCUAUCGGAACGAUCUUACGAAGCAAGCUGGUCUUUCUAGUCAAUGUCCGGCUGCAGAUAGCGUUCAUCGAGGGCGCGUGCCGCAAGGCAAUUCUGCAGACAACAUUCUGCCGAGUGUGUGGACAUUGAUAAUGAGAGCAAUCAAGUGCCUUAAGGGUGUUCGGUGGAUGCCUUGGCGCUGAGAGGCGAUGAAGGACGUGCUACGCUGCGAUAAGCC